UUAAGGACUCAGCUAAAAUCCAGGAGAUAGGAGAAUAUUUUGGUGUUGGAAAGUACUCAAGAUAUUUCCCUGUCAUAUUUACCGGAAGAACUAUUGACAGUAAAUCCACACUUGGGGAAGGGAUGUCUGUUGAAGAAAGGAACAACCUGAAGCAGGAACUGAAGUCUCUUAAAAUGGAGGACAUAUCCUCCUUCAUGGAAUCUCUGCCUACUGAUUUUCUCACAGUAUUGCGGACUGAUGGGCUCCUAAGAUCUCUGACGAGCAAGUUGGGUGCUCCUUUGCGAGUCCGGUUACUAGCAUAUGCUGAAUAUGCACUAUACGGACUUUCAUUGAAGGCUGACUCUAAAUCUGAUUCUGCCAUAGAAGUUGUGCUCUUUAGAUUCAAGAUUGGCCUCCGAUACAUCCAACUAAGAGUCCUGUUUGGGAUAUUGGGGCUUGUUUCAUGGUUAGAAAACAUCAAACACACGUCAACUAGGAGGUUUAAAGAUUUUCUUGCCUCAGCUGGUUUUGUGGUAAGGAACUUGUACCGUCCUUUAUUGACCGCAUAAUUAAGUCUGGCCAGUUGUAAUAGUGAAGAAAUUGUCUCAUUUACAUUCAUUCACUUCUUAAGAAGCUUUCCUAAACAAAUUGUCUCUAGGUGGUACACUAUAAUUCUAGAGAGGAAAGUCUGUUUCUACGAACUCCAUCCGAUCAUCUACAAUUGUUGUGUCAUGUCUAGUCUAAAACUAGACGAAAACCUGUAUAGUCAAUUGCAAUUUUAUAGUAAUAUUUUCUCCUUCAAAAACUAUUGGAUCUUUUCUCUCAUUGGCAUCAUGUUCUAUUAUAUGCAGCACAAGUAGGGAUUGCCCUACAUAAAAAAGUUGAUUUCCCUUCGAGCAUUUGUUAAUGUUGUAUCUUCUUGUUAGCGCAACUAUAUAGACAUGAUUUUUACCAAUUACAACGAGUACUUUUCAACAAUAUUUUAGCCAAUCUUUCACACUAGAAAUUUGUGACCUGUUGUCUUAACUGCACUCAAUAGAACACAACUAGAUUUCUGACUCUCACCACCAUAUGCUGUUUGUAGAAUUUAAAUUUUCUAUGGUCGAGAAUAUAUAUUGGUCAUUAAGCUCACAAUGGGCUUUGGACUUGAUGACAAUACCCAAGGAUUAUACCGAGGGAAAAUAGGUAGAAUAGUGCUUAUUAAGCACCAUUUGAUAGCUUAUUAUCGGAGUUAUGAGGUUGUUGCUUUAACAUAUACUGUUAGAGGCUGCUGUAAUGUAAACAGUUUUCACGAAAACUGAUGAUAAAUAAGGCCAUGGAAAAGCAAUCUGGAAGUGCUUUGUCUCAAUCAGUUAUCGCAGAAAGAGCAAGAACUACAGUGACUAAGAUUCCAGGUAUUCUACUCUAACUUCUUCAAUGAUGUCACGUAAUCCUGGAUCAUCAUCGGUAGAAAUGGAAGUCAAUGGCUUUUUACGCUCAGUUAUCAUUGGCGGUUUGAUUAACAAGGCACUAGCUUGGGAAGAUGAGAAACAGAAGUGUUUCUGUACGAUGGGGGUGAGUUCUUUUGCAGCUGUGCUGCCAUGGGAAUGGGAUGAAUCACAGUUACCAUCUUCUGGCUCACAAUGAGUGAUGAAAAACAACACAUGAAAACCAAGAAAGUUGCUAAUUAAAUACCUGUGAACGCGAUCAUCCCACAACUGUAUUUGUCCUUGUGACGCAUAUCCAGAUGACUGUUAAAGCUCAUUGAAGGUUGCUAUACCUCCUAUUUACAUCUUAUUAUAAUUGGAAGAGAGGACCGUGCUUCUUAACGUUCGUAUAGUGCUGUAAAUCUAUAGCUAUUUCAAUGUAAUUAUGAUGGUCUCUUCUUUCUCAACAUGAUAUUAGUUCUAAUGACAAUGAUACAAUUGAAGACAUCUAAUUUUUGAUUUCUUAGAGAAGGAUACUUAGUACUUUGUGACUAUGAGUGAUGAUUGUUCUCAAAUGGUUUGGAUGAAGGUACAUGAAAGUCAUAUGCACAUAUACAAAUACAACAUCUGAUGCAGUUUCUUGAAGUGAGAAGUAACAGAAAUACUUGAAAAUCAAGUCUAUCUUGUGAUAUGCGCGAUGAAAGAAUCCAACUCUAUUCGAGAAGCUCCCCCUUUCUCUGUGGACUUCCUUACAACUUCUCCCAAUUCUUCUGCUCUUUUUCUAAUCAGGUCUCCUUCUUCUGAUGCCAUCAACUUCCUCACGACAUUCUCAAUAGUGGAUGCACUUACUAGCUCCUCGCGUUUCUCCCAUUCUCUAACAAGCAGGCCUGUUUUCAGUAUUUCUGUCACGAAGAAACCAUUUAUUGGUUGAUCAGAGUGCAUAGGCCAAGCAGCUAUAGGCUCUCCCAUAGUUAUACUCUCUAUGCAAGAAUUCCAUCCACAAUGACUCAUGAACCCGCCUGUAGACGAAUGAGCCAAGAUUUCUGGUUGUGGUGCCCAUUCUCUUACCACUAACCCGACCUCUUUUACUCUUUCCUCAAAUCCUUCAGGCAACUCAACUUUUCUAGCUUCCCCUUCAAAGAUAUCUCCUCUAUCGGCGUCUCUCAACACCCCAUAUGAACCUCUGUUUACUCUGCUCUAACCCCAUCGCGAGCUCCUUGAUUUCCUUAUCAGAAAAGGAAAUUGUUGUUCCAAACGAUAUAAAAAGAACUGAUCUCGGAGGUUGUUUGUUCAGCCACUCCAAACAUAUAUCGUUCCUAUUUGAGAUAUGAUGGAGUUUAGUAGGCAGAACAGGUCCAAUUGCCCAUUGCUUCUUGUUCAGAUUAGUUUCUGCUUGUUCCAACAAAUCAAGUAACUUGCCUUCAUUUACUUUGCUUGUGUUAUGGAUAUCACCUGAUCUAAUAGCCAUAUACUGAUGCUGAUAAGUCGAAAAGUCCCUGGCUUCAUCUGCCAUAAUUCCUUCAAGGGAGGGUACCUUUUUAAGCAAAUUUUCUUCAUGUUGUAUAGAUAUUCCACCAGAUAAGCUUAGCCAAUGGAAUGAAGUGAAGACUGAAAUGCAGUUAAAUACAUAGGAUUCAACAUUGGGCAAAGAAGAAACAUCCUGAACAUUAUAAGACAUUAAAGGAUCAUGAACAACAAUGACUCGUCUUGCUUUUGAUGAGAUAUCGCGUAAGAAAGAAGCAAUGGGCUCGCGAAGAAGCAUAGAAGCAUCCCACGAUGGCUGAAGAUGUGAUGGGAAUUUGCUCAAGGCAUUAAAGUCAGGUGAUGGUGAGUCAAAUUCAGGAGUUGGAAGGUCAUGGAAGUGGACUUUGGCUAUGUCUGAAGGAUUUAAGGCGUUGGCUCGAAUCCUAGCUUGACGAUUAUGAGUGGCCGAGCCAACAUAGUAGACAGGAAGACCAUAGGACGAGAUUAAACAUGAAAGUUGAAGAAGUUGGUUGAGAUGGCCUUGAGCUGGAAAUGGAACCAUAACUAUAGUUACUACAUGGUUUGGUAAAUUCUCACAGCUAUACAUGGAAGACGACAAACCGGAGUUUUGUACUUCUGUUGGAUCCUCUCCUGGUUGAGUUUGUGUCAUGGUAGAAGCUGGGAAACAACUUUUAAGUCUAUGAGAAUUGUUUAAAGUAAACAAAAGAGAGUCUUGGCUAUGAACCUUUCACCUUAUUACAAGACAAAAAGACAAAUUAUAUGACAAAAGUUUUGAUGUGAGGAUAGAAAAGUAUGUGGUUCUGAAGUAUUGUGAGCAAAGUUUUCCAAGCUAGUAGUAUCAACAUUCUAGAUUUUUCAUUUUUGUUUGGGUAAAUUAAAAUUGUAAAAAUAAGCCAAAAGCCAAAAACCAAUCCAAACAUGCAGAGCCCUCGAACCUUAUACGAGUGUAUUCCUCCAGAGUUUUGGGAAUAUUUGAAGACACAAGUUAAUCCCUUUGUUGGGAAAAUCAGCUUUGAUGAAAUUAUCAAUUCUUUCUAGCGUAUUUGACAGUUUGAAACUAUGAACUUUAGGUCCAUUCCAUCCCCUGGUGUUAAGAGAGGAAAAAAGACUCCAUUAAACGCCACGAGUCCAUGGAAUAGCUUGACAACAAGAACCAAUGUAUUAGGGUCAGCCAAGGAAAUUCUGAACUUGUAACUAAGUAUCUGAAAAUUGGACCAACUGUUAGGCCAUGGACGCGUAGAGAUGAACAUGUUACAUGAGAGAUGGAUUCUUUCAUAGUAUUAAUGAAUAGCUGUAUCAAGAUUGUGGUAUCAAACACUUUCAACCAACUAUAGAAUUCGAAAGAGCUGGUUUCAUGGACAACAUUUGUUUUAUUUAUGCGUAGUUGAUAUCUCAGAUAUUCACUCAACUACUAAUACUUAUAAUCACAGAAUUCAUUUUAUUUUUUGAGAGACCAAUAGAAUUACAUGGAAAUGGAUACAGCACCACGUCCGAAUAGAAGGACUAUCUCUUUAAAAUUAGCGUUGAGCAAGAGAGGUGGUUUCGAUAGACAACUCUAAAGAUGCUUUUUAACUCCAAUUAGAACAAAUAAACAGAUUAAGGUAGUCAAACAUUUAUUCAUGUUAAAACCAGAUUAAGUAUCUGUUAAGAGAGAAAUGCAAAGCAAUCAUCUCAUUGAUAGGCAUAAAAGUUUAUAAGAUACUGAACAUUCCAAGAUCAAAUAAAUGUAAGGUAGUAACCAAGAUACUUGAAGAUGAAGUCUAUCUUGUGAUAUGCGCGAUGAAAGAAUCGAACUCCAUUCGAGAAGACCCCCCUUUCUCUGUGGACUGCCUUACAGCUUCUCCAAAUUCUUCUGCUCUUUUUCUAAUCACAUUGCCUUCUUCUGAUGCCAUCAACUUCCUCACAACAUUCUCAAUGGUGGAUGCAUUCACCAACUCCUCGCGUUUCUCCCACUCCCUCACAAUCAGGCCUAUUUUUAACACUUCUGUCACCAAGAAACCAUUCAUUGGUUGGUCAGAGUGCAUAGGCCAAGCAGCUAUAGGCACUCCCAUAGUAAUACUCUCCAUACAAGAAUUCCAUCCACAAUGACUCAUGAACCCGCCUGUAGACGAAUGAGCCAAUAUUUCUGGUUGUGGUGCCCAUUCUCUUACCACUAACCCGACCCCUUUUACUCUUUCUUCAAACCCUUCAGGCAACUCAACUUUCCUAGCUUCCUCAGUAAAGAUAUCUCCUCUAUCGGCGUCUCUCAACACCCAUAUAAACCUCUGUUUACUCUGCUCUAAUCCCAUCGCGAGCUCCUUGAUUUCCCUAUUGGAAAAUGAAGUUGUUGUUCCAAAAGAUACAUAAAGAACUGAUCUUGGAGGUUGUUUGUUAAGCCAAUCCAAACAUAUAUUCUCCCUAUUCGAGAUACGAUCUAGUUUAGUAGGCAAAACUGGUCCAAUUGCCCAAUUUUUCUUGUUCUGAUCACUUGCUACUUGUGCCAACAAAUCAAGAAACUUACCUUCAAUUACUUUGCUUGUAUUAUAGAUAUCACCUGAUCUAAUAUCCAUAUACCGACGCUGAGAAGCUGAAAAGUCCCUGGCUUCAUCUGUAGCAAUUCCUUCAAGGGAGGGUAGCUUUUUAAGCAAUUCUUCUUUAUGUUGUACAGACAUCCCACACGAUAAGCGUUGCAAACAGAAUGAAGUGAAAACUGAAAUGCAGUUAAAUACAUAGGAUUCCACAUUGGGCAAAGAAGAAACAUCCUGAACAUUAUAGGACAUUAAAAGAUCAUGAACAACAAUGACCCGUUUUGCUUUUGAUGAAAUAUUGCGUAAGAAAGAAGCAAUGGGCUCGCGAAGAAGCAUAGAAGCAUCCCACGAUGGCUGAAGAUGUGAUGGGAAUUUGCUCAAGGCAUUAAAGUCAGGUGAUGGUGAGUCAAAUUCAGGAGUUGGAAGGUCAUGGAAGUGGACUUUGGCUAUGUCUGAAGGAUUUAAGGCGUUGGCUCGAAUCCUAGCUUGACGAUUAUGUGUGGCUGAACAAACAUAGUAGACAGGAAGACCAUAGGAGGAGAUUAAACAUGAAAGUUGGAGAAGUUGGUUGAGAUGACCUUGAGCUGGAAAUGGAACCAUAACUAUAGUUACUUCAUGGUUUGGUAAAUUCUCACAGCUAUACAUGGACGACGACAAACCGGAGUUUUGUACCUCUGUUGGAUCCUCUCCUGGUUGAGUUUGUGUCAUGGUAGAAGCAGGACAACAACUUUUAAGUCUAUGAGAAUUGUUUAAAGAGAGAAGUAUUGAAAACAUACUUAAACUCAACAUGAAUCAUUAGUUUUAUUCCCGAGCUAUUGAUAGCCUUAAAUACACCCUCGAUCUUGCAACAUGAGUGAAAUACUCCUCUAAAUUCUCGCUAAGUUUAGGUGUGUUUUCAACACUUUUCUCAGCUUUUAAUUAAGAACUCCUUACUCCUAUAAGAGUUUGAGACCACUUGCUAUGUCAUGUGGUAGAUCGGGGUGUAUCUUAGUUUAGUUAGUCAAGUAAAGUGUAUUUUUAAAGCUGUCAAUAGUUUAAGGAUAAAACUAAUAAUUUGCGCCUCAAGGAUGUUUUCUAUACAGAAAUCAAUCUUGGCUAUGUAACUUUCACCUUAUUACAAGACAAAAGGACAUUAUAUGACAAAAAAAAUUUGGAUGUGAAAGAAAAGUAUGUGGUGCAGAUUGCAGAGGAAUUGUGACCAUUCACCAUAGUUUUGGAAACUAGUGAUAAUUGGUCUUCUAGAUUUUUUUCAUUUUUGGUUUCUCUUUUUAAGUAUUUUGUUUACUUUAUAUAUUUGUCAGUUUUUAAAAUGAUCUUGUAAUGCUCCAGGACUACAUAAUAUCAGAAAACACACACUGUCUGUCUAAAGGAGUACAUUUUUUUUGGCAUAAUUUGUUUCGACUCAAAAUGUUUUAUCCGAUGUUUGAUAUUCAUUUUAGAGUUUGACUAAUCCUAAUUACGGACAAAAAGUCUCACUUUGAAAGGUACAACACUUCAUGCCAAAGGUGAUUUCAGAUUAAAGCUCGAACCUGAUGCCUCUGGCUAAGGAUAGUAAUUAAGUUAGAGGGCAUAAUCCUCCAGAGUUUUGGGAAUAUUUGAAGACACAACAAGUUUUUACUAUUUGGUGGGAAAAUCAGCUGUGAUGAACUUUUCAAUUCUUUCACUGUGAUUUCUCAGAUGUUCAUUCAACUACUAAAGUACUAAUAGUUAUUAUCGCACAAGUCAUUUUCUUUAUCGAGAGACCAACAGAAUCACAUGAAAAUGGCUACAGCACCACAUUAUACAAAUAGAAGGACUAUCUCUCUUGCCAAGAUGUAAAUAGUAAACGUGAAAAGUAAAAUGGAAAUGAGGAAGUACAUCAACCUUCAUUGAAUUUCACAGUUUCCUGGACAUUCAUCUCAAGGGUAAGCACAUUCAAUUUUCAUUAGUUGUUGAGAGCUAGAAGAUGGUAACCGCGAUUCAUGUGAUUCCCAUGACAGCACAGAACCUGAUGUAGAGUUGAUAUGGUAAAGGUAGAAGGCAAUAAUCAUGAUAAUAACUAUGGUGUUUUUCGACAUGGCUCAAGUUUUAGAAGUGAAGGCUAGUUUGGUGUUACCUAAAUGCUCAAUUAUAACAAGGCUUUAACAAGUGAAUAUAUAUAAUGUCAGUCUGUUCAUGAUAUUAUUUAAUUUACUGUCAUGAACUAGAAACUAUGCAUUAAAUAUAAAGUUAAAAUGCUAAUUGUAAACACAUCUGAGGAGCAAGAUCCUAAUUAUCAGCUGGUGUUGUUGAAAAUUCCAAAUUAGUUCAACAUGUAUUAUUUACAAGGUAAAAAUAGCUGGACUUAUGUUAAAUUUUAAUUUGCUUAUUAUAUUGGAUAACAUGUCUACAAGUUCAAAGUUUCAUCACCAUUGAAGUCAACAUGUAUUUGAUAUUAUAAUGAAUGUUUGCUCAUCAAUAAUGGUGAUGUUAUCCAAAUUAGUUAGCAAGUUUGAAAAUUUCACAUGUUUGCAUCACAUUUAACCAUUUAAAUAAUACAUGUACAGGUCUGAAAGUUAGGAUCUUGCUCGAUCGUCAUGUGUGCUUUUAAAAUUGGCGUUGAGCAUGAGAGGCUGUUUCCGAUAGACAACUCUAAAGAUACUUUUUUUACUCCAAUUAGAACAAAUAAACAGAUUAAGAUAGGCAAACAUUUAUUCAUGUUAAAACCAGAUUAAGUAUCUGUUAAGAGAGAAAUACAAAGCAAUCAUCUCACCCAUAGGCAUAAAAGUUUAAGGUAGUAACCAAAAUACUUGAAAAUCUAAUGACAAUGAUACAAUUGAAGACAUCUAAUUUUUGAUUUCUUAGAGAAGGAUACUUAGUACUUUGUGACUAUGAGUGAUGAUUGUUCUCAAAUGGUUUGGAUGAAGGUACAUGAAAGUCAUAUGCACAUAUACAAAUACAACAUCUGAUGCAGUUUCUUGAAGUGAGAAGUAACAGAAAUACUUGAAAAUCAAGUCUAUCUUGUGAUAUGCGCGAUGAAAGAAUCCAACUCCAUUCGAGAAGCUCCCCCUUUCUCUGUGGACUGCCUUACAGCUUCUCCCAAUUCUUCUGCUCUUUUUCUAAUCACAUUUCCUUCUUCUGAUGCCAUCAACUUCCUCACAACAUUCUCAAUAGUGGAUGCAUUCACCAACACCUCGCGUUUCUCCCACUCCCUCACAAUCAGGCCUAUUUUUAACACGUCUGUCACCAAGAAACCAGUCAUUGGUUGGUCAGAGUGCAUAGGCCAAGCAGCUAUAGGAACCCCCAUAGUAAUGCUCUCUAUACAAGAAUUCCACCCACAAUGACUCAUGAACCCACCUGUAGACGAAUGAGCCAAGAUUUCUGGUUGUGGUGCCCAUUCUCUUACCACUAAACCGACCCCAUUUACUCUUUCCUCAAACCCUUCAGGCAACUCAACUUUCCUAGCUUCCUCAGUAAAGAUAUCUCCUCUAUCGGCAUCUCUCAAUACCCAUAUAAACCUCUGUUUGCUCUGCUCUAAUCCCAUCGCGAGCUCCUUGAUUUCUCUAUCGGAAAAUGAAGUUGUUGUUCCAAAAGAUACAUAAAGAACUGAUCUUGGAGGUUGUUUGUUAAGCCAAUCCAAACAUAUAUUCUCCCUAUUCGAGAUACGUUCUAGUUUAGUAGGCAAAACUGGUCCAAUUGCCCAAUUUUUCUUGUUCUGAUCACUUGCUACUUGUGCCAACAAAUCAAGAAACUUACCUUCAAUUACAUUGCUUGUAUUAUGGAUAUCACCUGAUCUAAUAUCUACAUAUGGACUCUGAGAAGCUCCGCGAUCUCUGAUUUUAUCCGUCAUAAUUCCAUCAAGGGAAGGUAACUUUUUCAGCAAUUCCUCUUCAAGUGGAACAGACAUUCCAACAGACAAGCAUAUAAUACAGUACAAAGUGAACACCGAAAUGCAAUUAAAUAUAUAGGAUUCCGCGUUGUGCAAGGAAGAAACAUCCUGAACGUUAUAGGACAUUAAAGAAUCAUGAACAACAACGACUCGUCUUGAUUUUGAGGAAAUAUCACAUAAGAAGGAAGCAAUAGGCUCGCGAAGAAGCAUACAAGCAUCCCAUGAUGGCUCAAGAUGUGAUGGGAAUUUGCUUAAUGCAUUAGGAUCAGGUGCAGGGGAGGUAAAAUCAGGUGUUGGGAUAUCAUGGAAAUGAAUUUUGGCUAUGUCUGAAGGAUUUAACGCGUUGGCUCUAACCCGAGCUUGAAGAUUAUGUGUAGCUGAGCCAAGAUAAUAGACAGGAAGAUCAUAUGAUGAGGUGAUUAAACAAGCAAGUUGAAGAAGUUGAUUAAGAUGGCCUUGUCCUGGAAAUGGAACCAUAACUAUAGCUACUUCAUCUUGUUUUAAGUUGCUACUACACAUGGACUUGGAAAAAUCGAAAUUUCGUACUUCUGUCUGAUCCUCCAUGUCUCCUGAUUGAGCUUGUGUUAUGAAUGAUUUUUAAUCAAAAUUUCGUACUUCUAUCAGAUCCUCUCUUUGAAGUGUAAGAGAUUUGAACUUGUAAAAUUUUGAAGUUGUUCUUGAAAAUGAUAAAUAAUAUUAUAUUUAUGAAAUAAAAGCAUUGACUUACACAAGUUGUGUUGUGGAAGCAAAAAGGACAGGCUAACAAAUCCAAACCAUUGAAAAUUUUAGUUUUUUAAUAUCUUAAUCCAUCUUUUUAGUCUAUGUUUGCCAGCCACUCAUCCCUCAAUUAUUGGCGGGUUUAAUUAUUCCAUCUUUUAAAUAAUAUAUUUCAUAUUUUGCCGUGUUUUGACUUUUGAAUAUUUCUUACUAUUCUCCAACUAUAUAGUAUAUAUACCUUGAUUUCGUUACGCUCAAUAAGAAGUCUGACCAAAAAAAUGUUUCGUGUCAUGCUAUUACAAAGUCAAGUUGUUUUAUCCAAGUUAUUAUAUACACAGAUGUAUAGUCAGACCCCUCUAUAAUACUAUAUUUUCUUAUGGGAUCGAUUUUUCAUGUUAUAAUCAGACUACAACCAUCAGGCCAGGGUUCGAGCCAACGCCUUAAAUCCUUCGAACAUAGCCAAGAUCCCCUUGAUUUGGGACACUUGUAUGCAUCUUCGCGAGUCCAUUGCUUCCUUCUUUAGGGACAUUUUGUCUCAAGCAAGACGAAUUGUUGUCGUUCAUGAUUUUUUAAUGUCCUAUAAUGAUCAGGAUAUCUCUUCCUUUCACACAAGCAAACAUUUCAAAGGUCUGAAUUUGCUCUUAUCCUCUUAUCUUCACACAUUUCCAAAGGUUUGGAUUUCCUAUUUUAUCCUAUUACAUACAUACAUACUCACUCACACGCUGACACAUGAUUCGAGUUAUUCAAAGGGAUUUUGAUUGAAUUUGCUAUAAUUUGAACGAAAAUGGCGUGUUUCUGGUAACCUUUGUUCAAUCUACAAACACUUCAAGAACAUCUUUUAUAGAUGGUUAAUCGAAAUUUCCAAGUCUUACAUGUGUUUACUUCUGUUCAUCAGUUCUCAUAGAAUUCAAAGUUGAUACCUUGAAGAAAUACAAAAGGAUGAAUAUAGAUAAGCCUGCUUCUACCUAUCACAGGGAGGAUACAACACAAGUACAAAACUCCGCGUCCAUGUGUAGCGAUGAGAAUUUACUAAACCAUGAAUUUAGCAAACUAAAACAAGAUGAAGUAGCUAUAGUUAUGGUUCCAUUUCCAGCUCAAGGCCAUCUUAACCAACUUCUCCAACUUUCAUGUUUAAUCUCCUCCUAUGGUCUUCCUGUCUACUAUGUUGGCUCGGCCACACAUAAUCGUCAAGCUAGGAUUCGAGCCAACUCCUUAAAUCCUUCAGACAUAGCCAAAGUUCACUUCCAUGACAUCCCAACUCCUGAAUUUGCCUCACCAUCACCUGAUUUUAAUGCCUUGAGCAAAUUCCCAUCACAUCUUCAGCCAUCAUGGAAUGCCUCUAUGCUUCUUCGCGAGCCCAUUGCUUCUUUCUUACGCGAUAUUUCAUCAAAAUCAAGACGAGUCAUUGUUGUUCAUGAUCCUUUAAUGUCAUAUAAUGUUCACGAUGUUUCUUCUUUGCCCAAUGCUGAAUCCUAUAUGUUUAAUUGCAUUUCAGCUUUAACUUCCUACAGUUUGAUAAGCUUAUUUUUUGGGAUGUCUGAUCAACAUGAAGAAGAAUUGCUUAAAAAGCUACCCUCCCUUGAAGGAAUUAUGACAGAUGAAAUCAGGGACUUAUCAGCUUCUCAGCAACACUAUCUAGAUAUUCGAUCAGGUGAUCUUAAUAAUACAAGCAGAGUAAUUGAAGGCAAGUAUCUUGAUUUGCUGGAACAAGCAGAACUUAAUCUGAACAAGAAACAAUGGGCAAUUGGACCUAUUCUGCCUACUAAAUUCGAUCAUAUCUCGAAUAGGGAGAAUAUAUGUUUGGAUUGGCUUAACAAACAACCUCCAAGAUCAGUACUUUAUAUAUCUUUUGGAACAACAACUUCAUUUUCUGAUAGAGAAAUCAAGGAGCUCGCGAUGGGAUUAGAACAAAGCAAACAGAAGUUCAUAUGGGUGUUGAGAGAUGCCGAUAGAGGAGAUAUCUUUAAAGGGGAAGAUAGAAGAGUUGAACUACCAGAAGGGUUUGAGGAGAGAUUAAAAGAUGUAGGCUUAGUGGUAAGAGAAUGGGCACCACAACCAGAAAUAUUGGCUCAUUCGUCUACAGGCGGGUUCAUGAGUCAUUGUGGAUGGAAUUCUUGUAUAGAGAGUAUUACUAUGGGAGUGCCUAUAGCUGCUUGGCCUAUGCACUCUGAUCAACCAAGAAAUGGUUUCUUGGUGACAGAAGUGCUAAAAAUAGGCCUGAUUGUGAGGGAGUGGGAGAAACGCGAGGAGUUGGUGAAUGCAUCCACCAUUGAGAAUGUUGUGAGGAAGUUGAUGGCAUCAGAAGAAGGCAAUGUGAUUAGAAAAAGAGCAGAAGAAUUGGGAGAAGCUGUAAGGCAGUCCACAGAGAAAGGGGGUACUUCUCGAAUAGAGUUGGAUUCUUUCAUCGCACAUAUCACAAGAUAGACUUGUUUGUGUUUUGCUUAACUAGAAUUGAGUCCACCAAUUGUGGAUGUAUGUCUUUUGUUUAAUUAAGUACUUGUUUGUGUUUACUUUUAUUCAAUUUAUAAGCAUUUCAAUAACAACCUUUAUGGAUGGUAUAUCACUUUACAAGUCCAUCUUCUGUUUAAUUUUGUUCAUUCUCAUAGACUUCAGAGUCAUUACCUUGAAGAAAUACAAAAAAGUUGAUUAUAUAAGCUUUUAUGUACCAUGACAAAUGCUCAAUCAGGAGACAGGGAGGAUACGACAGAAGAACGAAAUUCUCUUUUUAUUCUUCCUUGUGUAGCUGUGAGAAUUUACCAAACCAUGAACUUAACAAGUUGAAACAAGAUGAAGUAGCUAUCUACCUUUAUGGGGUAGAUAGGUUGUUUCGAUUGACCCUCGACAACCCUCCUCCUUUAUCUGUGUGUGGAGCUGGCAAUGUGAAUGAACUCAUAUAGGUGGAGUUAAAUUCCAUGUUAAGAAAUCAGGUCAGGCUUUGUCAACAACAACAAUCAGGUCAGGGUUCGAGCCAACGCCUUAAAUCCUUCAGACAUAGCCAAGAUUCACUUUCAUGACCUCCCAAGGAUUUGGGGGAAUCUUGGCUUACUCGUCAACAGGCGGGUUCAUGAGUCACUCUGGAUGGUAGUCUUUCUUAGAGAGCAUUAGUAUGGGAGUGCCAAUAGCAGCUUGGCCUAUGUAGUUUGACCAACCAAAAAAUGGUUUUUUGUAAGGUAACAUGGUUAAAGUUUUGUAUUUAAUAAUAUAACAUUAACACAAUGUUUUUUUUUAUAUAUAUUUUUUAUCAAUUAACACGAUACACAUUAGCAAAACACUUACAUUUAAAUAAUAUCUAUUUAUCUAUACGAUAUUAAAAGCACUUAGAAAUGUUGUUUGAAUUUACCCUUUAUUUAAAAGAUCCUAUAAUAGACAAAAAUAUUUAAUAUUUUCAAAAAUUUAUAAUAUUAAUGUGACAUAACACUAAACUAUUCAUACAAAAAAGAAGUUAGGUAAUAUUACUUGUAAUUACAUCAUAUUUGUUUAAUGCGGUACAAAAAUGUUACUGUAUUAGACACCAAUUUUAAUAGUAUAGGAAAAGAUGGUAUUAGAAAAUUUAAUAUUCCUAUUUUAUAAUUACACUAACUGCUCACUAAGGACGGAGGCGUAUCCAGAAUUUCGGUAAACUGGGUGCACGGUUACGAAAAAAUGCAUCUUAAAUAUAAAUUUGAUCAAUUUGACUUUUUGGUUCUUAAUAUGAACCAUUAGAUUAUAAAAAUUAUAGGUCCAAAAUAUAUAAUAAUUUUAAAACACACAUUUCAUUUAAUUAUAUAAAAUAUUAUAGUGCUAAAACUUUUAGGAAUUUUUAAUGUUACACACUUGAAAAUUUUGAAAACUUGAAGGAAAAAACAAAAGAAAAAAUAGUUGAAACACCAAAAGUAUAACUGAUAAUCACUUAGAGAGGUGUUACUCAAAAGGAUGAGAUAGAUAAAAGAUUUAAAUUAUUAUUUUCACUUAGAGAGGUGCACCCACUCAUCAUCGUAUUCUUAUAUGAUACUUUGAACGUGGCUUCACACAAUUAAAUUUAAAUAUUUUUUAAAAAAAGAUAACACUACUAUAUAUGAUCUAGAGAGGGGAACAUGAGUUCACGUGAACCCACGACACCCCCUCUAGAUACGCCCCUGACUAAGGAUAUGACCUUAGAUAAGAGGGUACAAAGGUUGCGGAUUGGGGUAAAAUGUUAGUAGGUACAGUAAAACCUCUCUAAAUUAAUAUAGGUGGGACCAUGGAAUAUUAUUAUUUUGUAGAGAUACUAUUUAAUCGAUAAAUUAAUAUUUAUUGAUUUAAAAAGUGUUUCGACACCGAAAAAAUUGUUCAGGGACGAAAUCUCAAAGAAUCCACUUGUGAAAACGUCAUUCAUGAAUUUGAGGUCAUGAUUAAAGAUCUCGGUUACUGCAAUAAAAUGGACGUUACAUGUCCAGAGGUCCAGAGCUUAGAACAAAUUAUUGAUAUCAUUGGAAAAACAAUGUUGUUGAUAAAGUUGAAGAUGAUACAAUACCUUUGCAAUCCAUUAUGCGUAAGGAAACACUUGCAUAAUUAGAGAUGAGCUUCAACAAGAUUUAAAUUUUAACAAAUAAAGAACAAAAUAGAAUCAUAUUUCACUGAAUUUUCUCAGAUAUAUUUGUACUUUUAAAGAAUUAUUAAUUUAUAAUAUUAAUGAGACCAUAUAUUUAUAUAGGGAUCUUCUGAAAAUUUUAUUAUCUUAUCGAAAUGAGUGAUUUUUUCCAUUGGCCCAAGUCGGGAUCAGAGGAAACUAUUAUCUUAGAGAGAUUAUUAAUUAACUGAGUAUUAAUUUAGUGAGGUUUUACUGUAAUUGAUAUUUUUGCGCUUAAUUUUCAACAUGAGAUAGUCCAAAGCACCAUGCAUGUAUGUUGUAGUAUUAGUGUUAUUCAUGUAGGGUCGUUUGGUAGGCCGCAUUAAAACAAAUAUUCCAUGUAUUAUGUAUGGUAUUAUUUAGUACUAUGUUUGGUAGGAAAUUGGGUCUAUGUAUAACUAAUUCAUGGAUUACUUAUACCUUCUACAUGGUAUUAUAGGAUGUAUUUCUAAUACCUUCCAUUUGGAGGUAUUAGUAAUACAUGAGAUAUAAUACCAUGGGAUAAGUCUAUGUAAAGACAAAAAUAAAUCAUUUUAAUUAUUUUGUAUAUUUUCUUGAUUUUAUGUUUUAUAUUUGUACUAGUAAAUUUAUUUAAAUAAAUUAGCUUACAAAUUAUUUAGAGAGAGUUGUUUGUUACUAAAUAAAUUCAAUACAAAUUAAUACAAUAUUUGAAAUGUGAGUUAUUUAACAUUAACUAAUUAAAAAAACAAAUAUAUCACCACAUGACGUUAUAUAUAUAUACGUUUUUCUAAUUAUUUGUAUUUUGAACAAUUUAUAAAUUGAAUACAUAUUAAAAUUACAACUUGCAAUUUUUAUGUGUAAAUGUAGAUGAUUUAUUCAAUUUUACUAUUCUUUACAGUCUUUUCAAUUUUAAAAGCUGAUAGUUUAUCUUUUUAAAAAAAUUGAAAAUUGACAUUUUAUAAGUGAUCAAUUUACUAAGAUGAAUUAUUUAUCCUCAAAUAAUUUAAGUGAAAAAAAAGGCAAACAUGACAACAAAAUUGUUCUUCUCAUAACUAGUUAGAAUGCCAUAAAAAAAUAAUAUUGUCCGGCAAUUAUAUACCUUAACCCAAUUGCAUAAUAAUUUAAGGGUAUAGUUGGAAAGAAUUUUUUUAUAAAGUUUUAAUCCAAACACAAGAUGAUGUGGGAAAUAAUGAACCAAACAGUUAAUAAAAAUAAUUUCUGCAUUACUAAUCUCUGCACUAUUAAUCCUUGCAUUAUUAAUCCCAGUAUUACUAAUCACUGCAUUAUUAAUCUUUGUACCAAACGACUCCGUAGUGUCUUGCUCUUCGACAUUUGUUACCAUAUGUCGUUGUUACAAUUUUUUUAAAAUUAUUCUUGUGCGUUGAUUUUCGUAUUAAUUGUCUGGUUUUCUUUUUUAGCAAUAUUUUCUAAUUCGUAAUUAUUUUGAUUUGACUACUUAUUAGAAGAGUCUACAAGCAGGCAUGUCUUUAUCAACAUGCCUUCUUGUAUGACAAGGGCAUUUUCGUAACUUCCUACUUUUUCUUUCCUUGAGUCUUUGUAUCUUCUUUCUUUAAGAUUGUACCUUUUCUUUAUUGGACCCAAAAACCAAUCAAUAUUUACCUAAUGGCUUAUAUGUCCUAUCAAAAUAUUCUUCUCGUGAAUUCUAUUAUAUAUAAAUAAAAAUAAAAUAAAACAAAAUUAGAAUGUGUCAGCAUUACUAGUCCAUAUGACAAUGUCCCCCAGCUUUAUCCAAAUCCAAAUAAUAAUAAUAAAGUAGAAUUGACAUGCCACCAGAUUAUAAAUGAUGUGCUGAUUGAAAUAAAUAUUAAACGUGUAACAAUUUAUCAGCCAUUUAUCAAUGAGGUGCGUGAAAAUUGAUUGAAAUAAAUAUUAACGGUCGCUUGGUAUAAAAAUAAAUAAUGCAGGGAUUAUUAUUAUUGGCAUUAGUAAUGCAGUGAUUAAUAGUGCAGAAAUUAGUAAUGCAAAAUUUAUUUUUAUCAAGUGUUUGGUUCAUUGGUUCCAACCCCAUUUUGGAAUUGGGUUAAGACUUCAUAAAAUAACUCCUUUCCAAUUAUAUCCUUGAAUUGUUAUGUAAUUAGGUUAAGGUAAAUAAUUGCCGGACAAUAUUAUUUUUUAUGGCCUUCUAACUAGCUAUGAGAAGAACAAUUUUGUUGUCAUGUUUGCCUUUUUUUUCACUUAAAUUAUUUGAGGAUAAUAAUUGUCAUCUUAGUAAAUUGAUUACUUACAAAAUGUCAAUUUUUAAUUUAAAAAAAAGAAGAUAAACUAUGAACUUUUAAAAUUGAAAAGACGUAAACAAUAGUAAAACUGAAUAAAUCAUCUAUAUUUCCACAUAAAAAUUGCAAGUUAUAGUUUUAAUAUGUAUGCAAUCUUAUAAAUUGUUCAAAUACAAAUAAUUUAGAAAACCACACAAAUAUUGCCCUUUUAAUUAGUUAAAUGUUUAAAGCAAACUCAUAUUUCAAAUAUUGUAUUAAUUUGUGUUGGAUUUAUGUAGUAACAAAACAACUUUUCUCUAAAUAAUUUUGUAAGCUAAUUUAUUUAAAUAAAUUUACUAGUACAAAUAUAAAACAUAAAAUCAAGAAAAUAAAUAAAAAUAAUUAAAAAUGAUUUGAGAGAUAUUUUUGUUUUUACAUAGACUUAUCCCAUGGUAUUAUAUCUAAUGUAUUACUAAUACCUCCAAAUGGAAGGUAUUAGUAUUACACACUAUAAUAUCAUGUAGGAGGUAUAACUAAUCCAUGAAUUAGUUAUACAUAUGCCCAAAUUCUUACCAAACAUAGUACUAAAUAAUACCAUAUAUAAUACAUGGAUUAUUUAUUUUAAUGCAGCCUACCAAACGACCCCUAAACGUGUAGCAAUUUCCUAUUUUUAAUUUGCUUGAAAUAGAUUUAAUGUUAUGAUCCUAUUAUUAGUAGGAUAAUAUGUAUUCUGCAAUGAAUUUAGUCCUAAUAGAAAAAUGUUUUGUUUAAUCGUAAUAUAAAAUUACAUUUAUAUCUUAUAGUAAUUUUUCAUAUGGAGGAAAAUUUUGAACUUAAAAAGGUCAAAUAAGUCGAUCAACUUUUUAAGAUAUUUUGUUAAAAUAAGCUUUUAGUCUUUUCACGUGAACAUUCAUGCAAAACUCCAAAACAUGUGCACCACAUAUUUUUUUUUGCCACGUCUCCAAAUCUUUGUAGUAGUACGGAGUAUACAAUACCCUAGAUCCAAUAAUUCAAAAAUAAUACUCUUCAUGUGACACUUUUCAAAUUUUGAUAUUCAAACAAGUUUAUCUUUGAUUCUAAAUUUUUUAUUUAUCUUUUAAUUAUUUUAAUUUGACAAUUAUUGUGACUUAUAGUACUUUUUACUUAAUUUACAAAUAUAUAAAUUUCAUUUCAAAAAAAAUAGAAAAGCUUAAAUUUCUGAUCAAACUUAAAUUGUUUGACUCUCGAAAAACGAAAAGCACCACAUAAAUUGGGACAACGUCUUACAUACAUACACACAAUAGCGGACCCAAAAUUGUUUUUAAGGGUGUCGACGAUUGUAGUAAGAAAAUGAGUAUAAUUAUGAAGCUGGUAGGACUUGAACACACAACCUUAAAGAAUUUUACGACGCCUUUACCAACUAGUAUAUAUACACACACUCACUUCAACAACUUCUACAAAAGAUUGAACAAACUUCAAAGUUGUUUACCUUGUAUAUUGAAUAUUGAUAGCCCUGGUAUUAGCCAUGACACAAGUAGAAAACCAUGAAUUUAGCAAACUGAAACAAGAUGAAGUAGCUAUAGUUAUGGUUCCAUUUCCAUCUCAAGGCCAUCUUAACCAACUUCUCCAACUUUCAUGUUUAAUCUCCUCCUAUCAACUUCCUGUCUACUAUGUUGGAUUGGCAACACAUAAUCAUCAAGCCAGGAUUCAAGCUAACACAUUAAAUCCUUCAAACAUAGCCAAACUUCACUUCCAUGACCUUCCAAAUCCUGAACUAAUAUCCUCAUCAAAUCUUGAGACAGUAUGGGAUGUUUCUAUGCUUCUUCGCGAUCCCAUUGCUUCUUUCAUACGCAAUAUUUCAUCAAAAGUAAGACGAGUCAUCGUUGUUCAUGAUCCUAUGAUGUCUUACAAUGUUCAAGAUGUUUCUUCUUUGCUCAAUGCUGAAUCCUAUAUAUUUAACUGCAUUUCAGUUUUCUCAUGCUAUAUUAUGAUGUGCUUAUUUUUAAAGAUUUCUGGCCAACAUGAAGAAGAAUUGCUUAAAAAGCUAUACUCCUUUGAAGGAGUUACAACAGAUGAAGCUAUGGACUUGUCAGAUUCUCAACAUCCAUAUAUGGAUAUUAGAUCAGGUGAUAUCCAUAAUACAAGUAAAGUAAUUGAAAGCAAGUAUAUUGAUUUGAUGGAACAAGCAGAAAUUAGUCUGAACAAGAAACAAUGGGCAAUUGGACCUAUUCUGCCUACUAAACUCGAUUACAUCUCGAAUAUAUGUUUGGAUUGGCUGAACAAACAACCUCCAAGAUCAGUUCUUUAUGUAUCUUUUGGAACAACAACUUCAUUUUCUAAUAGACAAAUCAAGGAGCUCGUGAUGAGAUUAGAGCAGAGUAAACAGAGGUUUAUAUGGGUGCUGAGAGAUGCCGAUAGAGGAGAUAUCUUUAAAGGGGAAGAUAGAAAAGUUGAAUUGCCUGAAGGAUUUGAGGAAAGAGUAGAAGGGGUUGGGUUAGUGGUAAGAGAAUGGGCACCACAACCAGAAAUCUUGGCUCAUUCGUCUACAAGCGGGUUCAUGAGUCAUUGUGAUUGGAACUCUUGCUUAGAGAGUAUUACUAUGGGAGUGUCUAUAGCUGCUUGGCCUAUGCACUCUGAUCAACCAAUAAAUGGUUUCUUGGUGACAGAUAUAUUGAAAAUAGGCCUGCUUGUUAGAGAUUGGGGGAAACGCGAGGAUGUAGUAAGUGCAUUCACUAUUGAGAAUGUCGUGAGGAAGUUGAUGGCAUCAGAAGAAGGUAACCUGAUUAGAAAAAGAGCAGAAGAAUUGGGAGAAGCUGUAAGACAGUCCACAGAGAAAGGGGGAGCUUCUCAAAUAGAGUUGGAUUCUUUCAUCGCGCAUAUCACAAGAUAGACUGGUUUCUUUCUAGCUCUUUCUUCUUUGAAUGUUCUCUUUUCAAGCAGUUUGGUUACUUUUCUAUUUUCUUUUAAACUUGUUAUUUAUCAGCUUCUUGGCUCAGACUAAUAUAUGCUACCUUAUAUUUCUUUGAUCUUUGAAUGUUCAGUAUCUGAAAUUUUUUAUGGCUCAGUGAGAUGAUUUCUUUGUAUUUCUCUCACUGAAAAGCAUAACUUAAUCUGGUUCUAAUACAGAUACUCAAACUUGACUUUGAGAGUAUACAUCUAAACACCUCAAUUGACAACUAAAUACUUCAACCUGUCUCCACUGUGUCUUGUGAACACCCGAUGCUAAAGUGACACUCUAAAUCUUGGAAGUGUUUAGAUGAUCAUUUUGUAAGUUGGAGUGUACAACUGACACAAAGGAGACGACUGAUGAGUUGAGGUGUCUAGACGUGUAUACUUAUGAUUAUGAAUAUGAAACAACAUAACACAAAGAAAAAGGAGAAUAUGCAACGAUGCAAAUUGUACACUGCUGUAUUUCAUUACACUAGUUUCUAGGUACGUGCUUUGCGCGUGCAUCCCAUAUCAUUGAGUAGAUAAGUUUAAAAAAACAUAUUAUUAUUUUUAAGUUCUAUAACUGAGUUAUGAAAAUAAUUAAUGUUGAUUUAUUCAGUUAGGUCAUUGAAGAAAAUGUUUUUGUCGCAUGAAAAGCCUUAAAUACCUUGUUGUACUUUUUAGUUUGCCUCGAUGCCUUAUUUUAAUAUCUAUAAUUGGCUUUAACAAUCAAGGUGAGGGUUAUACAUAUUUCUAUUUUAUAUGUCAUUAAAAUUAUAUUUGUUUGGUAUAAAUUUAAAAAUAAUUUGCAUAUAUAUAAGCGAUGAACAAACUUUAACAAAAAUGAACAACCUUUAUUUUCUAAAGCUAAUUGCUAUUUGGCAAUCAAGGCCAAUAACAAAAAAGUUUACAACUCAUAGCGACUCACAAAAAGUUUCAUUUUAAUUUUGCUAAUAAUUUACAACCAGGCAGGUCAUCUUCAAAGUGGUAGAUGUUUUAAGCCAUAUGCUAGAUUUGUAAUACUAUAUAUUAUCCUCCGCAACACUAACGGCGACCCAAUCUUCACAUGGGUGCGUGUCAUGACAAAUCUGAAAUUUUGCAUGUUACUCAAUCUGGAGUUUGUUCUUCAUCGAUCCCAAACUGUGAUUCUACUACCAAGGCAACAAGAAGCUAAUAAGAUGAUUUCAUUCUUUGGAUUCCACCCAGGCUGGAAAACUUCCUCUUUGUGACAAUCCAAAAGAUGAUCAAUAUGAGUGUAUUUCUGUCAUGAUUCUGAUGUGCCCAUUUGAAUUCCAUAAAAUGGAGGAUAUAAGCCUAUUUAUAGUGACGUAACCCUUUAAAUUUCAUACAUAACUGGUUAUAUAUAGUCUUUUCAUUUUUCACAUGUCCUCUCAGAUUUCCUAAUUAAGUGAUAAAAGUCUUUUCAACUUUCAAAUUAAUUCACAGAAUAUGUUGUUCAAUAAUAUUAUUUAAUUAAUGACGAAUGACCAGAAUCCUGUCCCAAUGUCAAUGUCUACAUAGCAUAACACAACAUGGUUCAAUCAAAUGCAAUAAGAACAGCAGAAUAUUGAUCCAUUAAUACUGACCAGUGCAUAACACAACAUGGUUCAAUCUUGAGGGAGCUCAUGUGCGAGAAGAAACAAAGUCCUUGACCACCCACCAACUGAUCCAUGAAGGAGGAAUGCACUUCCCAAAGCCAUCCCAUCAGUAAAAUUGUGCUGUACCAUAACAUAAAUUCAUCAACAGCGUCGUUAGCUCCUCCCGAGCUCUCUUCACCAUCACUUCCACUGUCAUCGACUACAAGUUCUCACUAUACAGACUCAAUCCUCACACCUACGACUAUCGCCUUACUCUCUCCGAACUACAUCUACGAUCAGCAAAGAGAAUUUUAACGAUGUGGGAAGCAAAUAAAGGUAUUUACAUCAAAGCAGGUCAGUUUGUUGCUGCCAUUAGGCAAGUACCAAAAGAAUACUCAACAACACUUUCUUCAUUACAGGAUCAUGCUAUUCCUUUUCAGUUUGAAUCGAUUAAACAUGUGUUAGUUAGUAAUUUAGGUUUAAGUUGUUUAUCGGAGUUUUUUUUCUCCUUCGAUGAGGUUCCGGUUGCUGCUGCAUCUAUUGCUCAAGUACACCAUGCUGUUUUAGUAAAAGACCGUCAGGAAGUGGCGGUGAAGGUGCAGUAUCCUGGAUUGGAGUAUCAAAUGAAAUUUGAUCUAGUAACUAUGUCUUUGUUGUCGAAAUCAGUUGGAUGGAUCUUCGCUGGAUAUAGGUUUCAAUGGCUUGUAACGGAAUUUGAAAAAUCUAUUGCUUCUGAGCUUGAUUUUAUUGCAGAGGCUAAAAAUUUGGAGAGGAUUAGGGAAAAUUUUAAGGAUAAUUCUAUGGUUAGGGUUCCAAAUGUGUUUUGGGAUUUUACGGCAAGGCAGGUUAUGACGAUGGAGUUUUCAGAGGUCGUAAAGUUGAUGAUUUGGAGUUUCUGAAGGAAAGAGGAAUUAGUGAAGUCAAGGUUGCGAAAAGUUUGGCAGAAGUAUUUGCAGAAAUGAUUUUUGUUCAUGGUUUUCUUCAUGGGGAUUUACAUCCUGGUAAUAUAUUGGUUUCUCCUGAAGGGAAGAAUGGAUUUUCGUUAGUGUUGUUGGAUUUCGGGAUUUGUAAACAGUUGAAUGAGGAUUUCAGAUUGAAGUAUUGCGAGCUUUGGGAGGGUUUGGUAGUUAAGGACUCAGCCAAAAUCCAGGAGAUAGGAGAAUAUUUUGGUGUUGGAAAGUACUCAAGAUACUUCCCUGUCAUAUUUACAGGAAGAACUAUUGACAGUAAGUCCGCACUCGGGGAAGGAAUGUCUGUUGAAGAAAGGAAGAACCUUGAGCAGGAAUUGAAGUCUCUUAAAAUGGAGGAUAUAUCUUCCUUCAUGGAAUCUCUGCCUACCGAUUUUCUCACAGUAUUGCGGACCGAUGGGCUCCUAAGAUC
RNAcentral lists this long non-coding RNA (22567 nucleotides) under Solanum tuberosum (potato). RNAcentral's name for it is "long non-coding RNA (STUB_LNC004315)". Lineage: Eukaryota; Viridiplantae; Streptophyta; Magnoliopsida; Solanales; Solanaceae. The record is from RNAcentral.